This 424-nucleotide ribosomal RNA is filed under the name Verrucomicrobiota bacterium. RNAcentral describes it as "Verrucomicrobia bacterium partial 16S ribosomal RNA". It matches the Rfam family "Bacterial small subunit ribosomal RNA", at positions 355 to 776 of the family's 1533-position model. The record is from RNAcentral. RNAcentral also lists the same sequence under 1 other name. Lineage: Bacteria; Pseudomonadati; Verrucomicrobiota.
UGAGGAAUAUUGGUCAAUGGGCGAGAGCCUGAACCAGCCAAGUAGCGUGCAGGAUGACGGCCCUAUGGGUUGUAAACUGCUUUUAUGUGGGGAUAAAGUGCGUGACGUGUCAUGCAUUGCAGGUACCACAUGAAUAAGGACCGGCUAAUUCCGUGCCAGCAGCCGCGGUAAUACGGAAGGUCCGGGCGUUAUCCGGAUUUAUUGGGUUUAAAGGGAGCGUAGGCUGUCUAUUAAGCGUGUUGUGAAAUUUACCGGCUCAACCGGUGGCUUGCAGCGCGAACUGGUCGACUUGAGUAUGCAGGAAGUAGGCGGAAUUCAUGGUGUAGCGGUGAAAUGCUUAGAUACCAUGACGAACUCCGAUUGCGCAGGCAGCUUACUGUAGCAUAACUGACGCUGAUGCUCGAAAGUGCGGGUAUCAAACAGG